Molecule: ribosomal RNA, 1673 nt
Filed under: Micractinium sp. LBA 32
Lineage: Eukaryota; Viridiplantae; Chlorophyta; Trebouxiophyceae; Chlorellales; Chlorellaceae
Description: bacterial SSU rRNA
Rfam family: Bacterial small subunit ribosomal RNA
Source: RNAcentral
AUUAGUAUGAGUUUGAUCCUGGCUCAGAAUGAACGCUAGCGAUAAGCUUAACACAUGCAAGUUGAACGCCAAUUCUGUAAAUCACAGAAUUGGAGUAGCGAACGGGUGAGUAACGCGUAAGAAUCUACCUCGCAAACCAAGCAAAGACUUUUCUGAAUCUUGGAUAAAGUCACACAAAAUGGGAAUUUCUUGAAAUUCAAAAGAGAUUCUUUUUUGCUUUAAGGAAGCCUUCUGUUUUGUGUGAAAAAAGGACUCUCACGUUGCGAGAUGAGCUUGCGUAGGAUUAGGUAGUUGGUGGGGUAAAGGCCUACCAAGCCAAAGAUCCUUAGCUGGUCUGAGAGGAUGAUCAGCCACACUGGGACUGAGACACGGCCCAGACGCUUUCGAGCGGCAGCAGUGAGGAAUCUUGGACAAUGGGCGAAAGCUUGAUCCAGCUAUAUCGCGUGGGUGAUGAAGACUGUAUUGGUUGUAAAACCCUUUACUCCUUGAGAGAUUAUGACAAACAGGGAGAAAAAAGUCCCGGCCAAUUUCGUGCCAGCAGCCGCGGUAAUACGAGAGGGGCAAGCGUUAUUCGGAAUGAUUGGGCGUAAAGCGCACGUAGGCUGUUUAGAAAAUCAGAGAGAAAAAUCUCAAAGUUGUGCUUUGACAUUUGUUUUAUGAUUCCUAAACUGGAGUGAGUAAGAGGAGAAUGGAAUUCCUGGCGUAGAGGUAAAAUUUGUUGAUAUCAGGAGGAACACCAAAAGCGAAGGCAAUUCUCUGGUACUCUACUGACGUUGAGGUGCGACAGCGUGGGGAUCAAAAGGGAUUAGAUACCCCUGUAGUCCACGCCGUCAACGAUGACCUUUCUAUGAAUAGUCAAGCUUUGAAAGUCUCUUCAGUCACAAAAACGACGUUUUUGUGAAGUGAAUCGACCAAAGUUUUAUGGUUUGUAUUAGCUAACGCGUUAAAAGGUCCGCCUGAGGAGUACGGUCGCAAGACUAAAACUCAAAGGAAUAGACGGGGGCUCACACAAGUGGUGGAACAUGUGGUUUAAUUCGAAACAACGCGCAAAACCUUACCAGUCCUUGACAUAAUCUUUUUACAAUCUCGCUCUAUCUCGAGAUAAUCUCCGUGGAAAAAAUCAGGAGAGUAAAGAUUACAGGUGUUGCAUGGCUGUCGUCAGUUCGUGUUGUGAAAUGUUGGAUUAAUUUCCUUAACGAACGAAACCCCCCUUUUCAUUCAAAACAGAGACACUCUUCAUGUUUUAAAUGGAAAGACAGCUGGUGAUAGACUAGAGGAAGGGAGGGAUCACGUCAAGUCCUCAUGACCCUUAUGGGCUGGGCUACACACGUGUUACAAUGGUGAGGACAAAGAGGAGCAAUGACGAGAGUCGGAGCAAAUCUCAAAAAACUCACCCCAGUUCAGAUUGUUCUCUGCAACUCGAGAACAUGAAGCCGGAAUCACUAGUAAUCGUGGAUCAGCACGCCACGGUGAAUCUGUACCUGAGCCUUGUACUCCCCGCCCGUCACACACUGCGAGUUGAUAGUGUAGGAAGUCUUUUCUGAAAAGAAAAAAAUCUUAUUCAAUCUUGAUGUUUUGAAAGAUGGAUUUUUCUCUUUUUAGUGAGCCGAAUAUAAGAUGAGUGAGUGGUGUGAAGUCGUAACAAGGUAGCCGUAGGGGAACCUGCGGCUGGA